RNAcentral lists this ribosomal RNA (207 nucleotides) under uncultured bacterium. RNAcentral describes it as "partial 16S ribosomal RNA". It matches the Rfam family "Bacterial small subunit ribosomal RNA", at positions 568 to 774 of the family's 1533-position model. The record is from RNAcentral.
CGUGUAGGCGGGUAUAUAAGUCAGAAGUGAAAUCCAAUAGCUUAACUAUUGAACUGCUUUUGAAACUGUAUACCUAGAAUGUGGGAGAGGUAGAUGGAAUUUCUGGUGUAGGGGUAAAAUCCGUAGAGAUCAGAAGGAAUACCGAUUGCGAAGGCGAUCUACUGGAACAUUAUUGACGCUGAGAUGCGAAAGCGUGGGGAGCAAACA